Molecule: transfer RNA, 68 nt
Filed under: Marmota monax (woodchuck)
Lineage: Eukaryota; Metazoa; Chordata; Mammalia; Rodentia; Sciuridae
Description: tRNA.Ala
Source: RNAcentral
GGACUGUAGCUCAGUGGCAGAGCGCUUGCUUAGCAUGCUUGAGACACUGGGUUCGAUAUUCAACACCA